This 294-nucleotide ribosomal RNA is filed under the name uncultured bacterium. RNAcentral describes it as "partial 16S ribosomal RNA". It matches the Rfam family "Bacterial small subunit ribosomal RNA", at positions 775 to 1067 of the family's 1533-position model. The record is from RNAcentral.
GGAUUAGAUACCCUGGUAGUCCACGCCGUAAACGAUGCUCACUAGAUGAUGGACUGCUUUCGCGGUUCAUUGUCGAAGUUAACGCGUUAAGUGAGCCGCCUGGGGAGUACGGUCGCAAGAUUAAAACUCAAAGGAAUUGACGGGGGCCCGCACAAGCGGUGGAGCAUGUGGUUUAAUUCGAUGCAACGCGAAGAACCUUACCCACUCUUGACAUCCAGAGAACUUAGCAGAGAUGCUUUGGUGCCUUCGGGAACUCUGAGACAGGUGCUGCAUGGCUGUCGUCAGCUCGUGUUG